Molecule: unclassified non-coding RNA, 328 nt
Filed under: soil metagenome
Description: partial contains 5.8S ribosomal RNA, internal transcribed spacer 2, and large subunit ribosomal RNA
Rfam family: 5.8S ribosomal RNA (bases 1-119)
Source: RNAcentral
GAUGAAGAACGUAGCGAAAUGCGAUACGUAAUGUGAAUUGCAAAUUCAGUGAAUCAUCGAAUCUUUGAACGCACAUUGCGCCCUCUGGUAUUCCGGGGGGCAUGCCUGUUCGAGCGUCAUUAUAACCACUCAAGCUCUCGCUUGGUAUUGGGGUUCGCGGUUCCGCGGCCCCUAAAAUCAGUGGCGGUGCCUGUCGGCUCUACGCGUAGUAAUACUCCUCGCGAUUGAGUCCGGUAGGUCUACUUGCCAGCAACCCCCAAUUUUUACAGGUUGACCUCGGAUCAGGUAGGGAUACCCGCUGAACUUAAGCAUAUCAAUAAGCGGAGGA